UGAAACAAAAAUGGCGUUUUCAAAGCAAGCAAUGACAAUGGACACAAAAUUAUUUUCCAGCAGUUUCUAUAGGGAAUGGAAAGGGUAAAAGUGCUAGAUUUUUAGAGAAGAAUUAUUCUAUUGUAUGUUAAAUCUUGAAAAGAUCUUAAGCUCGCGGACAUGUUAAAAACGGACCAAGAACUGAAAGUGGAAGGCCAAGGAAAAUGGACGACAGAACUUGCAGGACAUUGGACAGAAUUGUAGAUCUAAGGGGUGACUGAUCGUCUUCAUUGGUGGAUGUAGAAAUUCUAGUGUUACUGUGUAAUUGAGAUUAAUUUAGCCAUAUUGCCAUAAAGUGGACUAGAGAAAAGACGCCCAGCAAAGAAAAAAAAAAAACUCAGUUCAGAGUGACCAAAGAGUCUAAAGUAGAUCUAAAGAAAAAAGUUCAUUGGUUAACAGGCUGACUUGAAUAAGAUGCACACUUAGCAGAACAAAAUUGUUGCAAUGCUAUUUUCAAAGACUUAGCGCAGACGGAAAAGUUAAAUAAGAUCUACUGCCAACAGUACAAUGGAGAACUAAACAUGAAAGGCACGGUGUGUUGGAAAUAUUAGAUCCACAGUAUGUCCUCCAUCAUCUGUGGGCAGAACUAAAAAGUUCAGUUCAGUUGUGGGGAUGCAGUCAAUAAUUCUAAAGGAACACUAGCAUUUCUCGAUGGUAACUGUUAUAUCAUAUGAACAGUGCUAGCUCUAAAUACACUGAGGUAUCCUAAGUUAAUGACACCAUCUGGCAUAUUAUUGUGGAGCAUUGUUUAAAAAAAAACCUAGAAUAUCUGCCUGCUCCGAAGGAACUUGAAGACAAAACUCUCGGCCAUCAGUCUGAUCAAACAAGAACUUGAAAAUCAAAUAACAAUUAUUGAAUAUUCUAACCCCAACAUGGCUAGCUGAGUCAGCAGAUUUGAAGAUUUGAUUAUCAUUGAAAAUAUCAGACUGACUACAGUAUUGAUUAAAAUCUAUAUGAAAAGAAACAGGUCUCAAACCUGUAUUGAUUUGUGACUUGGAAAAAUGUGACAUUAAUGUACAUAAGGACCCUAAAUUCAACAAUUCCGCGAGGAAUGAGAACAGUUUUGAAAUCAAAAGCUCACGUCAGGAUUACAUCAAGAAUUUGAGGCUGAUGAUAUUGUAACUGGCCAACGGCCUCACCAAGAGUGUGUAACACCUUAAGUCACCUUCGGUAUUAGUGAUGCAGACAGCUUGAAAAGUCCUCAGCACAGCAGUUUCCGGAGGCAGUCAGAACACCAGGUCGAGUGGGUGUUUUGUUGGCUCUGUUUGUUGGGGUCGUAUACGGCGUGUCGGACUCCAGUCAUUGCACAAAAUAUACAGAUUACAAUGCCCUUGCUGACCUAACGAAGCAUGACGAUUGCAUGAGUAUACAGUCUG
Molecule: long non-coding RNA, 1415 nt
Organism: Mercenaria mercenaria
Lineage: Eukaryota; Metazoa; Mollusca; Bivalvia; Venerida; Veneridae
Exons: 5
Source: RefSeq, a predicted model, not a curated record